AGCAUCACUAUCCUUUGACAAAC
RNAcentral lists this microRNA (23 nucleotides) under Panagrellus redivivus. RNAcentral describes it as "prd-miR-7908-5p". Lineage: Eukaryota; Metazoa; Nematoda; Chromadorea; Rhabditida; Panagrolaimidae. The record is from miRBase by way of RNAcentral.